UAAGGUUUCUGUAGUUGAGUUAC
This 23-nucleotide transfer RNA is filed under the name Coryphoblennius galerita (Montagu's blenny). RNAcentral's name for it is "partial tRNA-Glu". The record is from RNAcentral. Lineage: Eukaryota; Metazoa; Chordata; Actinopteri; Blenniiformes; Blenniidae.